RNAcentral lists this RNase P RNA (380 nucleotides) under Clostridia bacterium. RNAcentral describes it as "RNase P RNA component class A". It matches the Rfam family "Bacterial RNase P class A". Rfam says of the family: Ribonuclease P (RNase P) is a ubiquitous endoribonuclease, found in archaea, bacteria and eukarya as well as chloroplasts and mitochondria. Its best characterised activity is the generation of mature 5'-ends of tRNAs by cleaving the 5'-leader elements of precursor-tRNAs. Lineage: Bacteria; Bacillati; Bacillota; Clostridia. The record is from RNAcentral.
UAACCGAGUUGUGCAUUCGCGUAGUAUUGUGCCGAAAGGUAUUACUAUGAGGAAAGUCCGGGCUUCGCAGGGCAGGAUAACGGAUAACGUCCGCCGAAGGCGACUUCAGGGAAAGUGCAACAGAAAUAAACCGCCUGCAUUGCAGGUAAGGAUGGAAAGGCGAGGUAAGAGCUCACCGGCGCGUCGGUAACGCCGCGCAAAUGUAAACCCUAUCCGAAGCAACACCGUAUGCGGAUGCCGCAAGGCAGGUUUGCCCGACCCAUAUCCGCGGGUGGCACAUGGUACCCAACCCAUGGAGCGUUACGGUAACGUAACGUCAAAGAUAGAUGAAUGCAGCCCCGCAAGGGGAACAGAACCCGGCUUACAGACUCGGUUGUUUU